AGUACAGUCAGCUAAUAUAAGCUUUUGGGCCCAUACCCCAAAAAUGAUGGUUAAAGUCCCUCCUGCACUA
Molecule: transfer RNA, 70 nt
Filed under: Minimugil cascasia (yellowtail mullet)
Lineage: Eukaryota; Metazoa; Chordata; Actinopteri; Mugiliformes; Mugilidae
Description: tRNA-Met
Rfam family: tRNA
About the family: Transfer RNA (tRNA) molecules are approximately 80 nucleotides in length. Their secondary structure includes four short double-helical elements and three loops (D, anti-codon, and T loops). Further hydrogen bonds mediate the characteristic L-shaped molecular structure. tRNAs have two regions of fundamental functional importance: the anti-codon, which is responsible for specific mRNA codon recognition, and the 3' end, to which the tRNAs corresponding amino acid is attached (by aminoacyl-tRNA synthetases). tRNAs cope with the degeneracy of the genetic code in two manners: having more than one tRNA (with a specific anti-codon) for a particular amino acid; and 'wobble' base-pairing, i.e. permitting non-standard base-pairing at the 3rd anti-codon position.
Source: RNAcentral